GCAGUUGUAGCUCAGAUGGCCUAGAGCGCCUGACUGUGGAUCAGGAGGUCAUGGGUUCGACCCCCAUCAACUGUA
This 75-nucleotide transfer RNA is filed under the name Candidatus Brocadiia bacterium. RNAcentral describes it as "tRNA-His". It matches the Rfam family "tRNA". Rfam says of the family: Transfer RNA (tRNA) molecules are approximately 80 nucleotides in length. Lineage: Bacteria; Pseudomonadati; Planctomycetota; Candidatus Brocadiia. The record is from RNAcentral.